This 622-nucleotide ribosomal RNA is filed under the name Phialophora verrucosa. RNAcentral's name for it is "partial large subunit ribosomal RNA". It matches the Rfam family "Eukaryotic large subunit ribosomal RNA", at positions 32 to 668 of the family's 3401-position model. The record is from RNAcentral. Lineage: Eukaryota; Fungi; Ascomycota; Eurotiomycetes; Chaetothyriales; Herpotrichiellaceae.
UCUUGCAUAUUUCCAUAAGCGGAGGAAAAGAAACCAACAGGGAUUGCCUCAGUAACGGCGAGUGAAGCGGCAACAGCUCAAAUUUGAAAUCUGGCCUCUUGGGGUCCGAGUUGUAAUUUGUAGAGGAUGUUUUGGGUACCGCCCCGGUUUAAAUUUCUUGGAACAGAAUGUCAGAGAGGGUGAGAAUCCCGUCUUGGACCGGUGGUAGGGCCUGUGUAAAACUCCUUCGACGAGUCGAGUUGUUUGGGAAUGCAGCUCAAAAUGGGUGGUAAAUUUCAUCUAAAGCUAAAUAUUGGCCAGAGACCGAUAGCGCACAAGUAGAGUGAUCGAAAGAUGAAAAGAACUUUGAAAAGAGAGUUAAACAGUAUGUGAAAUUGUUGAAAGGGAAGCGCUUGCAACCAGACUUGAGCGCGACGGUUCCCCUAGCCUUUUGGCUAGGUUACUCCGUCGUGUCCAGGCCAACAUCGGUUCUGAGGGUCGGUCAAAGGCCCCGGGAAUGUACCUACCCACGGGUAGACUUAUAGACCGGGGUGUCAUGCGGCCUCUCGGGACCGAGGAACGCGCUUCGGCUCGGAUGUUGGCGUAAUGGUUGUCAGCGACCCGUCUUGAACCCAGGGGACCA